UCCCCGGUUGCUCUGCUGGCAUGGGCGCCCAGACUUUGAAUCUGGUUGUCGUUGGUUCGAUUCCAACCCGGGGAGCCA
RNAcentral lists this transfer RNA (78 nucleotides) under Nocardioides sp. RNAcentral describes it as "tRNA-Gln". It matches the Rfam family "tRNA". From Rfam's summary of the family: Transfer RNA (tRNA) molecules are approximately 80 nucleotides in length. Their secondary structure includes four short double-helical elements and three loops (D, anti-codon, and T loops). Further hydrogen bonds mediate the characteristic L-shaped molecular structure. tRNAs have two regions of fundamental functional importance: the anti-codon, which is responsible for specific mRNA codon recognition, and the 3' end, to which the tRNAs corresponding amino acid is attached (by aminoacyl-tRNA synthetases). tRNAs cope with the degeneracy of the genetic code in two manners: having more than one tRNA (with a specific anti-codon) for a particular amino acid; and 'wobble' base-pairing, i.e. permitting non-standard base-pairing at the 3rd anti-codon position. The record is from RNAcentral. Lineage: Bacteria; Bacillati; Actinomycetota; Actinomycetes; Propionibacteriales; Nocardioidaceae. RNAcentral also lists the same sequence under 2 other names.